UGAGGAAUAUUGGGCAAUGCCCGCAAGGGUGACCCAGCAACGCCGCGUGGAGGAUGAAUGUCGUAAGAUUGUAAACUCCUGUUAGAGGGGAAGAAUAGUACCGGUUGGACCGGUAUAUGACUGUACCCUCAGAGAAAGCCCCGGCUAACUACGUGCCAGCAGCCGCGGUAAUACGUAGGGGGCAAGCGUUGUCCGGAUUUACUGGGUGUAAAGGGCGCGCAGGCGGGAUAAAAAGUCAGUGGUGAAAUCCUACAGCUUAACUGUAGAACUGCCUUUGAUACUUUUAUUCUUGAGUUCGGGAGAGAGAGACGGAAUUCCAGGUGUAGUGGUGAAAUACGUAGAUAUCGGGAGGAACACCAGUGGCGAAGGCGGCCUUCUGGACCAGUACUGACGCUCAUGCACGAAAGCGUGGGGAGCAAACA
Molecule: ribosomal RNA, 422 nt
Filed under: uncultured bacterium
Lineage: Bacteria
Description: bacterial SSU rRNA
Rfam family: Bacterial small subunit ribosomal RNA
Source: RNAcentral